RNAcentral lists this unclassified non-coding RNA (828 nucleotides) under Hevea brasiliensis (rubber tree). Lineage: Eukaryota; Viridiplantae; Streptophyta; Magnoliopsida; Malpighiales; Euphorbiaceae. The record is from RNAcentral.
UUAAUCAUAUUUUACUUUUGAUCCAAUAGCUGAUAACUCUCAUUCCAGUUCAUUCAUCCAGGCAGAAUUGCAAUUGAUAAAUCAUCAUUCAAUUUAUACAGUCAAAUCCAUGAAAAAAAAAAAAAUUCGCUAAACUCUUAGAAGACAAAAAUCUAAGAAAAACUGAUUGAUGCAAGUAAGAUCUCUAAUCCAAAACUUUUUUAUCAACUAAUAUUAUGAGGACAUAAGGAUCUCAGCGCUUCCCUCCACCACCCCCAAGCUUGGGCCCCUUUGGUGCAGCACCUUUGGGCAAGCUACCUUUGCUCUGGGUCUUUUGUGUCUUUGCCAUUACCUCAGCCUUCUUGGCCUUCUUUUCAUCCUUCGUUUUCUUAAUUCUCUCCUUAAUUUCACGGAGUGCAGCCUCUCUUGCAGCAUCACGUACUUCAGGCUUCUCAGUUCGCCUCUUCUGUAUGACUUCCAAAGUAGCACCAACUAUAGACCUAGAGUAAGGCUUUUUUGUAGCGCGACGUCUCUUCUUAACGGUUUCAGCAGCAAUAUCCUUCUUAUGUUGCUUCCUGUACAUGGCUGUCCAAGUUAGCUUUGAGGGCUUCAAUCGGUUGUGGAAGUACCUCUUGCAUUUUGAAUUGGCAAAGAGGAAUACCUGGCAAUCUGAGCGAACAAAUCUGAUGCCCUUACCAGGGUAUAUCUUUGCCCCGCUAAAGCGACAAAGGUCAGUCCUGAAAUUACGAAUAUUAGCGAUUACUCCAAGAUUCACAUCUUAAAUGCAUUCAUUUCAUAGGAGACAUGCUAUUCAACUUUCUCUCAAAAGAUUAAAAGUUAUAAUCCCAG